This is a transfer RNA of Ovis aries (sheep), 72 nucleotides long. It matches the Rfam family "tRNA". Rfam says of the family: Transfer RNA (tRNA) molecules are approximately 80 nucleotides in length. Their secondary structure includes four short double-helical elements and three loops (D, anti-codon, and T loops). NCBI's taxonomy places the organism in Eukaryota, Metazoa, Chordata, Mammalia, Artiodactyla, Bovidae. The record is from Rfam.
UCCCUGAUAGCUCAGUUGGUAAAGAAUCUGCCUGCAAUGCAGGAGAGCCUGGUUCAAUUCCUGGGUUGGGAA